UGGAAGAAAGAGCCACAGUGACGCCAGGAGA
This 31-nucleotide non-coding RNA is filed under the name Homo sapiens (human). The record is from RNAcentral. Lineage: Eukaryota; Metazoa; Chordata; Mammalia; Primates; Hominidae.